UGGGGAGACUUUGACUCAGUCAGUGAAUCAAGAGGUAGGGGUGUGAGGGUGCACCACGAUAUGGUGGGGGGAUCCACACAGGAUCCCCUGGUUGACUCAGGAGUCAACCAACAUGUGGCGCCUCUGGGAGAAGCCACAUGGCGCCCAUGCAGCAACCCCCACCACCAAAUAAAAAACAAAAAUUCUGAGAGAGAGAUUCAUUCUCUCAUUCUUGUUCUCUCUCU
Molecule: long non-coding RNA, 224 nt
Filed under: Lathyrus oleraceus (garden pea)
Lineage: Eukaryota; Viridiplantae; Streptophyta; Magnoliopsida; Fabales; Fabaceae
Description: Pisum sativum (pea) long non-coding RNA (PSAT_LNC026648)
Source: RNAcentral